UGGGGAAUUUUGGACAAUGGGGGAAACCCUGAUCCAGCCAUCCCGCGUGUGCGAUGAAGGCCUUCGGGUUGUAAAGCACUUUUGGCAGGAAAGAAACGUCAUGGGUUAAUACCCCGUGAAACUGACGGUACCUGCAGAAUAAGCACCGGCUAACUACGUGCCAGCAGCCGCGGUAAUACGUAGGGUGCAAGCGUUAAUCGGAAUUACUGGGCGUAAAGCGUGCGCAGGCGGUUCGGAAAGAAAGAUGUGAAAUCCCAGGGCUCAACUUUGGAACUGCAUAAUUAACUACCGGGCUAGAGUGUGUCAGAGGGGGGUAGAAUUCCGCGUGUAGCAGUGAAAUGCGUAGAUAUGCAGAGGAACACCGAUGGCGAAGGCAGCCGCCUGGGAUAACACUGACGCUCAUGCACGAAAGCGUGGGGAGCAAACAGG
Molecule: ribosomal RNA, 429 nt
Filed under: Acidobacteriota bacterium
Lineage: Bacteria; Pseudomonadati; Acidobacteriota
Description: Acidobacteria bacterium partial 16S ribosomal RNA
Rfam family: Bacterial small subunit ribosomal RNA
Source: RNAcentral